RNAcentral lists this ribosomal RNA (467 nucleotides) under uncultured bacterium. RNAcentral's name for it is "partial 16S ribosomal RNA". It matches the Rfam family "Bacterial small subunit ribosomal RNA", at positions 28 to 506 of the family's 1533-position model. The record is from RNAcentral.
GACGAACGCUGGCGGCGUGCUUAACACAUGCAAGUCGAACGGAAAGGCCCUGCUUUUGUGGGGUGCUCGAGUGGCGAACGGGUGAGUAACACGUGAGUAACCUGCCCUUGACUUUGGGAUAACUUCAGGAAACUGGGGCUAAUACCGGAUAGGAGCUCCUGCUGCAUGGUGGGGGUUGGAAAGUUUCGGCGGUUGGGGAUGGACUCGCGGCUUAUCAGCUUGUUGGUGGGGUAGUGGCUUACCAAGGCUUUGACGGGUAGCCGGCCUGAGAGGGUGACCGGCCACAUGGGGACGGGGAUACGGCCCAGACUCCUACGGGAGGCAGCAGUGGGGAAUAUUGCACAAUGGGCGGAAGCCUGAUGCAGCAACGCCGCGUGCGGGAUGACGGCCUUCGGGUUGUAAACCGCUUUCGCCUGUGACGAAGCGUGAGGGACGGUAAUGGGUAAAGAAGCACCGGCUAACUACGU